Molecule: long non-coding RNA, 1170 nt
Organism: Phacochoerus africanus (Common warthog)
Lineage: Eukaryota; Metazoa; Chordata; Mammalia; Artiodactyla; Suidae
Exons: 4
Source: RefSeq, a predicted model, not a curated record
GUGCAGCUUCACAGACAUUGGAAAGUGCAGAGAGCUGGCCUCAAACCCAGGGGUGUGGCCAGUGCACUUAGUCAGGGCUCACAGCUGUGUCCCAGGAGGGCAGGGGGGCCUGGAUUUAGGAUAAAUGGGUCAAGAAUGCAUAACAAAGGAGCUGCAGACAAGGAGGCAGGAGCCGCCUGGAAUUGUCAGCAUCUGAUCACCUAAGACCUCCUUUCUUAGCCGAGCCCACUUUUGCUCUAAGGAGAAAGCCGAGCGCUCUUUGGUUGUAUAUGGGAAGGCACACGGUCCUCCCUGGCACUCUGCGUGCCCUGCAUACUGACUUCUUCAGCUCGAGCCAGCCUGCAGUCCUGCUCUGGCAUAGAGCCGGGCUUUGGCAGACCGAUGCCCAGCAUUUUGGGAGCAGGUCUGAGAGAGAACUUAGCAGAGAGGAGAGACCCGGAGCCUCUCGACUGCGUUCCUGCUCCUGGUUCCCAUCGUCCCGGCCCCUGCGCCCUCCCGUCCUGCUGGUGAUAUGGCUAGAUGCCAAAACACCUCUCCUCUGGCCCAAGCUGCUUCUGCACCUGUUUGGGGAUAAUGCUGAUCUCCUAGGGUUGCUGCCGGCACCGUGCAACCUGUUUACUCAGAUAACCCACAUCGGGUUUCCAGCCCAGGCCUGGCACAUAUGGAGGACUCGGCAUAUGUCAGCUCCAGCUGCUGCAUUAAAGAAUAUUUGAUGCCCAGGAAAGAAAAAGGCUCCUGGAAAAUGGGGCAGUGGAAACUUCUGCUGCAGCAGGCACUUUGGGUGCAAAGGGGAACAGAAAGAGCCAAAGCAGUUCAAGUCUGUGCCCAUGAAAGCACUGGCAUAGCUAAGACAGUGAAUCUUGGAGCACCCUGAGAUGAAAACCAUCUCCAGCAGCAGUGCCACCAUGACUCAAGGAAGUCAUCUCUGCGGUGUCCUGAUAUGUUCCAGGAUGGAAUCCGGACUGGUGAAGGUGACCCAUAAACAGGGCAGUGGAGGGAGAGAGUGCAGACCUGGACAGGCCACCCUCGCCACUUGCCUCGCCCAUCACAGGGAUUCUCCUAAGACCCAGUGUCCGGCCAGCUGCUGGUGCUCUGUGGGUGAUGCUGGUAUAUCCUAAUAAUAAUGGGUAAUGGCUGGAAUUCCCUGGUGGCCUAGCGGUUAAGGAUACA